UGGGACACAUAGUUCCACAACUGGACUGGAACUGGACUGUUGUCAAGCACCACAUAAACAUUUUCCUACACACUAGCUUGCUACUUUGUGUAGGUCUACACGUUACCGUCCUCUCCUGAUGACCAUUCAUAAUUUAACUAAAAUGUUAUUUGAGGAAAUAUGUUAAUCUUUGUGGUGCGACGUUUGUUACAAUCUAAGAUAGAUAACGAUUGUUAAUGUAAUUAAUUAAUGGUUAUUAGAACACCUGUAAAGCGGAGUGAUACAUGUAUAGUUAAAAGUCCCAGUGUUGUUAUUCUCUACUCCAAUCAAAUUACUUGGUCGUAAAAAAAAUACUUGUGAACAUCAUUUUGAGUUCUUUUCACCCUUUUCAUAGUAAGCAGUGGGAACGUUUUACUUGCCUUUUAGUAACGUUCAAGUGCGUUAUCUGCUGUGUUUUUCAGACUUUUUCAUUGAAACUGUUAUUGAGCCAUAUCAGUAGAUUUCAGUCGCAGCCCUGAUUUCUGCUUGCUCUGUGGUAUUGGUGGAUGCACUGAGGAAUAUAGAGUGUACAAUUCCUUCUAUCAUCAUGUAAAGAGAAGAUACACCUUCAACACCUACUUGAAGGCACCCGACCAGGUGAACAGCCAUCGGAGGAAAGCCGAGUAAGUAGCUAGCUAGGAUUUGGUUUUGUUUACUGCUGGAUUUUAAAAAAAAAUGUUUUAAUGAAUGGACGACACACGGACCAAAGUCAUACUGUCCAUAGGCUAUUCGAUCAUUUUAGCUAUAAUGACUCUUAUGGCUAAAGCUGGGUUAAUGUGAAAAUAAUCAAUGUCCCAUAGGAACAAAACACUUAAAUAGCUCUAAUGGUGAAACUAAAUACACUUUGAAAUAAUAAUCUGUUUCUUUGACAUGUGGUACACAGGACAACAUUCAACCCGAUCACCUUCUAGCUAACUCCAGCAUCACUGAUCAGCAACUCCAUACACCUGACUCAGAUGAAGGGAAAAGGGGCAUUGACCAACAUGGAGCUGUCACAGUAAGUAGGAUCUGACUACACAUGCCACUGCUUUUGUGAUAAAUGCCAGAGCCAAGCAUCGUCUCUCACAGAACGGCGUGAAUGACAUUGUUGCUGGGGUACAGCCGUAUCAAUCACCACUAUUGGACAACCUCAGGAAGCAGAUGGAGGCAGUCCUAAAUAAGCAUUCAGAAAGCAGAUGGAGGCAGUGCUAAAGAAGCAUUCAGGAAGCAGAUGGGGGCAGUGCUAAAGAAGCAUUCAGAAAGCAGAUGGAGGAAGUGCUAAAGAAGCAUUCAGGAAGCAGAUGGGGGCAGUGCUAAAGAAGCAUUCAGAAAGCAGAUGGAGGAAGUGCUAAAGAAGCAUUCAGGAAGCAGAUGGGGCAGGUGCUAAAGAAGCAUUCAGAAAGCAGAUGUAGGAAGUGCUAAAGAAGCAUUCAGGAAGCAGAUGGGGGCAGUGCUAAAGAAGCAUUCAGAAAGCAGAUGGAGGGAGUGCUAAAGAAGCAUUCAGGAAGCAGAUGGGGGCAGUGCUAAAGAAACAUUCAGAAAGCAGAUGGAGGAAGUGCUAAAGAAGCAUUCAGGAAGCAGAUGGAGGCAGUGCUUAAGAAGCAUUCAGGAUGCACAUCAGGUCAACAUGAAGAAGAUGCAAUGGAUAUAUGUGACAAUUUCAUUGAGCCUUUUGCUGGCAUUGCAACAUUUCGAAAGCGCAGUGUUAUUAAGAAGCAGUUUAGCUGUUUGGAUGCAGAUGACAUUACAAAUGCUCAAACCAUAUGCAGGAUGAACCAUAUGCAGGAUGAACUAUAUGUAGGAUGAACCAUAUGCAGGAUGAACCAUAUGCAGGAUGAACUAUAUGCAGGAUGAACCAUAUGCAGGAUGAACCAUAUGCAGGAUGAACCAUAUGCAGGAUGAACCAUAUGCAGGAUGAACCAUAUGCAGGAUGAACCAUAUGCAGGAUGAACCAUAUGCAGGAUGAACCAUAUGCAGGAUGAAAUGUGGAGGAUCAAAGACAUUUUCAUCAAAGACUAAUUAUUUCAUUAUGUACCAUUAGUCAAAAGUCUAGAACAGUUCUUAUCACACCCAAGGAUUUUGUCUGGUUGAAAAGGGACCCCAGAUGUGCAGGGAAUGUUUUUUUCAUGACAUUGUUGAUGGUGCUCUUCUAAAAUCAAAUCCCUUAUUUUCAGAGAAACCAAAUGCAUUGCAGAUUGUUCUGUACACGGAUGAAAUAGAGAUCUGUAAUCCACCAGGAUCCUUUGCAUCAAAAAACAAGUUGUUAAUGGUGUACUACACCCUAGGAAACAUAAAUCCAAAAUACAGGUCUAAACUGGCUGCUAUCAGGCUACUUGCCGUGGCUAGAUCACCAGACCUCCGUCAAUCUGGUGUAGAUGUAAAAUUGAAUAGAAUCAAGGAAGACAUGGAUACAUUGUACAGUGGGGUUCAAAUGCAAACUAUUAACGGAGAGAAAAUGAUAUAUGGUGCCAUGGUCUCUCUCUGUGGAGACACCUGGCACAACAUGAACUAGCAGGGUUCAAAGAGGGUGUGGGCUUUACCUACAGUAAGUGCAGACACUGUGAGUGUUCUUUUGAAGACAUGCAGUCACUCUUCAAUGAGGAUGCAUAUACUAAAAGGACAUUGGAGAAGCAUGUCAGACAGUGUGAUGAAAUAGAAAAGGCUAAGACGGACUUUGAUAUUAUAGAACAACUCCGCAAGACAUUAUGCAUGUAAUUUUGGAGGGCAUUGGAAAUCAAAUGUGUUUUGAAUCAUCUUGUUGUGUCAGGACAGAUUGAUCUGGACUGCUAUUCUUGGUUUCCUUUAUUCCCCUCUAGAUGUUAGAGAUCGGCCAUCCCCAAUUUCUGUUAGUACAUUAACGUCAAGUGAUGGUAAACUAAAACAGUCAUCUGGGCAAAUGCUUGUCCUGCUAGGGAUAUUGCCAUUUGUUUUGGAGAGUUUGGAAGUCAAUGCAUACAGUAUAUGAUGCAUUUGCCAUCACAGAUAAAGUCAUUGGGGCCAAUGGUUAGACAUAUGUGUAUGCGUUUCAAGUCUAAACAUUGUUUCUUUAAACAAUGGACUUCCAAGCUAAAUUUAAAACAUAUUUGCAGGUCUUUGUUUAAUCAUAACCAAAUAUAUGAAAGUUGCCAAAGUGUUGACAGUUCAAUGCACCCAAUUUUUUCAAAUGAAAUGUAUCAGAGGUUAAAGAUCUACAAUAUUUCUGUGGAAAAUUCAGGGACUUCCGAGGUUUCAAUAAAGUUAACCAUGCUGUAUCAGUCAAAUGGCUUGUGAUACAUUUGAAUAAAUACAUAACUCAGAAGUCCAUGAUCUUUGCCAAAGUACUGAAUGAUACAGUAAUAUGGCAGAAUUUGGACUGGUCAAAACACAUUUCUUGUUGAUUCUAGGCUUUAUUGUUUGGAAUAUCAACCAUUUCAAACUAUACGUUUUGCAGAGAAAGUGGGUAGGAGUCUGUUCCCAUGUUUAUGCCUCCUCUGUCUCGUCCCGCCCCCACACACACACACUACAUGU
Long non-coding RNA from Oncorhynchus tshawytscha (Chinook salmon), 3504 nucleotides. RefSeq lists it as uncharacterized. Lineage: Eukaryota; Metazoa; Chordata; Actinopteri; Salmoniformes; Salmonidae. The record is from RefSeq and is a predicted model, not a curated record. The transcript is spliced from 3 exons.